GAUGAACGCUGGCGGCGUGCCUAAUACAUGCAAGUCGAGCGAACAGAUGAGAAGCUUGCUUCUCUGAUGUUAGCGGCGGACGGGUGAGUAACACGUGGGUAACCUACCUAUAAGACUGGGAUAACUCCGGGAAACCGGGGCUAAUACCGGAUAAUAUUUUGAACCGCAUGGUUCAAUAGUGAAAGACGGUUUCGGCUGUCACUUAUAGAUGGACCCGCGCCGUAUUAGCUAGUUGGUAAGGUAGCUGCUUACCAAGGCGACGAUACGUAGCCGACCUGAGAGGGUGAUCGGCCACACUGGAACUGAGACACGGUCCAGACUCCUACGGGAGGCAGCAGUAGGGAAUCUUCCGCAAUGGGCGAAAGCCUGACAGAGCAACGCCGCGUGAGUGAUGAAGGUCUUCGGAUCGUAAAACUCUGUUGUUAGGGAAGAACAAAUUUGUUAGUAACUGAACAAGUCUUGACGGUACCUAACCAGAAAGCCACGGCUAACUACGUGCCAGCCGCCGCAGUAA
Molecule: ribosomal RNA, 514 nt
Filed under: uncultured bacterium
Lineage: Bacteria
Description: partial 16S ribosomal RNA
Rfam family: Bacterial small subunit ribosomal RNA
Source: RNAcentral